GACGGAGGGUGCAAACGUUGUUCGGAAUCAUUGGGCAUAAAGGGCACGCAGGCGGCCCAGUCAGUCAGUUGUGAAAUCCCACGGCUCAACCGUGGAACUGCAUCUGAUACUGCUGGGCUAGAGGCUGGUUGGGGUGAGUGGAACUCCUGGUGGAGCGGUGAAAUGCGUAGAUAUCAGGAGGAACACCAGUGGCGAAAGCGGCUCACUGGACCAGCUCUGACGCUCAGGUGCGAAAGCUAGGGUAGCGAACGGG
RNAcentral lists this ribosomal RNA (253 nucleotides) under uncultured bacterium. RNAcentral describes it as "partial 16S ribosomal RNA". It matches the Rfam family "Bacterial small subunit ribosomal RNA", at positions 524 to 776 of the family's 1533-position model. The record is from RNAcentral.